CAGCCGCCGCGGUAAUACGAAGGGUGCAAGCGUUAAUCGGAAUUACUGGGCGUAAAGCGUGCGUAGGCGGUUUGUUAAGUCUGUUAUGAAAUCCCCGGGCUCAACCUGGGAAUGGCAAUGGAUACUGGCAAGCUAGAGUGUGUCAGAGGAUGGUGGAAUUCCCGGUGUAGCGGUGAAAUGCGUAGAGAUCGGGAGGAACAUCAGUGGCGAAGGCGGCCAUCUGGGACAACACUGACGCUGAGGCACGAAAGCGUGGGGAGCAAACAGGAUUAGAUACCCCAGUAGUCCCUGUCUCUUAUAC
RNAcentral lists this ribosomal RNA (301 nucleotides) under uncultured bacterium. RNAcentral describes it as "partial 16S ribosomal RNA". It matches the Rfam family "Bacterial small subunit ribosomal RNA", at positions 509 to 807 of the family's 1533-position model. The record is from RNAcentral.